RNAcentral lists this ribosomal RNA (484 nucleotides) under uncultured bacterium. RNAcentral describes it as "partial 16S ribosomal RNA". It matches the Rfam family "Bacterial small subunit ribosomal RNA", at positions 30 to 507 of the family's 1533-position model. The record is from RNAcentral.
AUUGAACGCUGGCGGCAGGCCUAACACAUGCAAGUCGAGCGGAUGAAGGGAGCUUGCUCCUGGAUUCAGCGGCGGACGGGUGAGUAAUGCCUAGGAAUCUGCCUGGUAGUGGGGGAUAACGUCCGGAAACGGGCGCUAAUACCGCAUACGUCCUGAGGGAGCAAGUGGGGGAUCUUCGGACCUCACGCUAUCAGAUGAGCCUAGGUCGGAUUAGCCAGUUGGUGGGGUAAAGGCCUACCAAGGCGACGAUCCGUAACUGGUCUGAGAGGAUGAUCAGUCACACUGGAACUGAGACACGGUCCAGACUCCUACGGGAGGCAGCAGUGGGGAAUAUUGGACAAUGGGCGAAAGCCUGAUCCAGCCAUGCCGCGUGUGUGAAGAAGGUCUUCGGAUUGUAAAGCACUUUAAGUUGGGAGGAAGGGCAGUAAGUUAAUACCUUGCUGUUUUGACGUUACCAACAGAAUAAGCACCGGCUAACUUCGUG